GCCAUCUUAGCUCAGCUGGUAGAGCAACGCACUUGUAAUGCGUAGGUCCCCGGUUCAAAUCCGGGAGAUGGCUCCA
This 76-nucleotide transfer RNA is filed under the name bacterium. Its description in RNAcentral is "tRNA-Thr". It matches the Rfam family "tRNA". Rfam says of the family: Transfer RNA (tRNA) molecules are approximately 80 nucleotides in length. The record is from RNAcentral.